This 243-nucleotide ribosomal RNA is filed under the name uncultured bacterium. Its description in RNAcentral is "partial 16S ribosomal RNA". It matches the Rfam family "Bacterial small subunit ribosomal RNA", at positions 15 to 240 of the family's 1533-position model. The record is from RNAcentral.
GAUCAUGGCUCAGGAUGAACGCUGGCGGCGUGCUUAACACAUGCAAGUCGAACGAAGCUGUUAGAAGGAAGUCUUCGUAUGGAAUUUUGACAGACUUAGUGGCGGACGGGUGAGUAACGCGUGGAUAACCUGCCUUAUACAGGGGGAUAACGGAGAGAAAUUUCCGCUAACACCGCAUAAGACCACAGCACCGCAUGGUGCAGGGGUAAAAUAUUUAUAGGUAUAAGAUGGAUCCGCGUCCGA